This 73-nucleotide transfer RNA is filed under the name Ictidomys tridecemlineatus (thirteen-lined ground squirrel). Its description in RNAcentral is "Spermophilus tridecemlineatus (thirteen-lined ground squirrel) tRNA". It matches the Rfam family "tRNA". From Rfam's summary of the family: Transfer RNA (tRNA) molecules are approximately 80 nucleotides in length. Their secondary structure includes four short double-helical elements and three loops (D, anti-codon, and T loops). Lineage: Eukaryota; Metazoa; Chordata; Mammalia; Rodentia; Sciuridae. The record is from Rfam by way of RNAcentral.
GGGGAUAUAGCUCCAUUGGUAGAGUGCCUUCCUUGCAUGCACAAAGCCCUGGGUUCAAUUCCCAGCAUCACCA